RNAcentral lists this long non-coding RNA (1411 nucleotides) under Homo sapiens (human). Its description in RNAcentral is "HSALNT0375810". Lineage: Eukaryota; Metazoa; Chordata; Mammalia; Primates; Hominidae. The record is from RNAcentral.
AGUGUAGAAAACCAACCAAACCAAACCCAAACCAACAAAACCCUUCACCUAAAACCCGAAGCUACCCAGACCUCAGAAUUUUGGAUGUCUAUUAAGUUGGCGGUCCCCAGCAGUUCUUUAUAGAAGUGUGAAAACAGACUAAUACAAUCCUGAAGCAUUUCAUCAAAGAAUUGUAACAGGAGAUGAAAUAUGGCUUCACCAGUAUGAUCCUGAAGAAAAAGCACAAUCAAAGCAAUGUCUAUCAAGCGGAGGAAGUCAAAGCAAAGCAGACCAGUCAAGAGCAAAGGUUGGAGUGGCUCUGGUGACAACUCACUCUGUUCUCAUGGUCACAAAUCCCUGCUCACUGCUGCCACUGCUGCUGCCACCACAGACCAAGAGCUCCACUUGCACAGUGCUGCUGGCUAAGAAGAAGUUGCUGUACCUGAGCACUGGACCACAUGGACUCACAGAGACUCCCAACCAAGUAAAGGGGUGAUAUGGCUUGUGGAUGUCAACCAUAUUCUCUUCUUGAUCACCUCGCUGCUGGAACAAUGGGCCAUGGUCAGAGUAGAGUGGUCAUGGAGGUUGAAUAGAUGCCAUGAAUGGGUCCAAGAACAUGGACACUCUCUUUCACCAAAAUCAAUUCGGGUCUUGCCACUGUUAAUCACCUAACUUGCCAACAGCAGAGACUAUCGCUGAGUCUUUGAGAUGGCACUGCUCUUGGAGAGAUCAGGCAGCCAUCCAGUGAGAGGUUGACCCCUCUGCUUUGGAGGGGAUGGACAUUCAUCCUUAUCACCAUUGAUACUUGCUCUAGACAUGAGUUUUCCUUCUCUGCCUGAAAUUCCUCUGCCACUACCACCAUAUGAGGGCUUACAGAUUUCCCAAUCCAUCAACCUGCUUCUCACACACAUUAGCUCAGAGUAAAGGACUCAUUUUAUGGCAAAGAAUGUAAAAUGAUGGGCUCAUUGGUCUUAUUAUAUACCAUGCCACCCAGAAGCAGUCAACCUAGUGGAAUGAUGAGCUGGCCUGUUGAAAGCUCAGCUAAGGUGCCAGCUCAGAGAUGACACCCUGUAGGGUUGGAAGUUGGAGCACUGCUUUCCAGGAUGUGAUACAUAUGCUGAAUCAAUACCAAUCUAUGGUUCAGUGUCCCCACAUAACUAGAAUAUAUGAGUCCAGGAACCAAGGGAUAGAAGUAGAAUUGAUCCCUUCAGUUAUCACUCCCAGGGACUUACUUGUGGAAUUUGUAUCUUACUGUUCCUGCAAACUUAAAUUCUGCCAGUUUAGAGGUCUAAGUUUCCAGGAAGUAAAUGCUUUCUCCAGUGGAGGUGGGAAAGGCUCCAGUGAACUGGAAGUUGUGACUAUCACUCAGCUGUUUGGGGCUCCUCAUAACAGUGGACCAGCAGGCAAAGGAAAGAGUUGCCUUAUGGCUAGA